AGGGUUUUUGGUCUUCGACUGUUUUGUUCAUCCUCCUGAAGGGUUUCAUUUCAAUCCAUUUCAUUGCUUUCAUUUCAGUUUUCUUCAUCGUUCUGAAGAUAAAAUGCCUAGAAGAAAAGUGCGAGAGCUAAGCACUGUUCAAGGUACUCCAAACUCGGCGAAAACAAAAAGCACUGAACAACAGACUGCUAUUGGAUCUUCGAAUGUUCCGAUUACACCUGAGGAACCUACAGAAGUUGAAACUAAUUUAACAUUUAAUUUACAUGCGUGUGGACUUAUUGUUUAUUUAUUUUUAAAAUUCUUAUAUUACAGUAUAGCAUUUUCAGCUAAAAGUGGUGGGACGCGGAGAGUUCGAGGACGUACGCUGCUGAGAGAUUUAUACGAGCUAAAUCCAGUCGAGCGUGUCAAAGUAUGCAGUAAUAGCUUUGGUCAGCCUUAGAGGUGCUCAUGGGCCGGGCGGCCCGGCCCGGCCCGACGGCCCGCCCGAAAUAUGGGAGGGUUUGGGUAAAAAUAUAAGCCCGAAAUAUGGGCUUGGGCAAAAAAACGAGGCCCGUUUAGAAAACGGGCUGGGCCUCGGGCACCACUUUUUCGGCCCG
Long non-coding RNA from Gossypium raimondii (Peruvian cotton), 596 nucleotides. RefSeq lists it as uncharacterized. The record is from RefSeq and is a predicted model, not a curated record. NCBI's taxonomy places the organism in Eukaryota, Viridiplantae, Streptophyta, Magnoliopsida, Malvales, Malvaceae. The transcript is spliced from 3 exons.